Patella vulgata (common limpet) is the source of this 968-nucleotide long non-coding RNA. RefSeq lists it as uncharacterized. NCBI's taxonomy places the organism in Eukaryota, Metazoa, Mollusca, Gastropoda, Patellidae. The transcript is spliced from 5 exons. The record is from RefSeq and is a predicted model, not a curated record.
CGACAGAUUUUGAUCGGAACACAAGUAAAGUUUGUUUCAUUUGUGUGACACCGUCAAAAAAAUAUUCAUAUAGACAGAUAUUUCAUGUAACUGGUUAGAAGGCUAUGUCAUUAUGGCGAUCUGCGUGAUUUAUUUGCGAUAGUUAGUACACAUACUUACAGUUCUAAAAGAUGAAUCGAGUAGUCCCAAACGUUUGCAAGUUGCAUUCAAUACAAAAUUAGCUGAACACACCAUUUUGAAGGACGUUUUGAUGUUUUCCCGACAGAUCCUAAAUCUUUAAUUAUUAAUGUAAGCAUCACUUGAGAAGCGGUAAAAUGACCAAAAGAACUUAGAGAUUGUAGAAGUCAUAAAACGUUAACACUGUCUUCAAUAGCUCAACAGUUUCGAGAAAUUGGUGUAUUUACUAGUUUCCGUAUAAACACAAUCUUCAAUCUAGAUGACAGGAAGACAGUUUCAUGAAAUUUUGAAGUCAUAAAAACGUUAAGCGUCUUCAAUACAAAAACCGCACAACACCAGUCUGGAGGACAUCUUGAUGUUUUUCUAUAUUUCCUCUAAAUCUUUAAUCCUGGUAUUAUUGAUCUACGCAUCACUACUUGAACAGUUGUAAAACAACAAAGUUUUAAAGAGUAGACCGAGAUGUCAUAAAACAUGCCAACACACUGUCUUCAAUACAAAAAUAGCCCAACACAACCAGAUUCAAGGAGGUUCUGAUGCUGUAUUUACAAUUUUAGGUAUAGACCCUAAAUCUUUUAAUCCAGAUGUUUGUAAUGGUGCUCCAUACAAAAAUUUCAAUAGUAGCCCCUAAUGGCCGAUAUAGAAAACGUUUAAUAAUAUGAACUUGGUUUGGUAAUACAGUAGAAGACUUGCAGUGUUAGGAUAUAUUAAGGCAUCUCUGAAAGAAUUGAUGUUGUGGUGUUGACUCUGUAGUUUCGCUGUACUGAAUGAUACAUUUACUUCAAAUUUUUUAA